This 79-nucleotide non-coding RNA is filed under the name Falsihalocynthiibacter arcticus. Lineage: Bacteria; Pseudomonadati; Pseudomonadota; Alphaproteobacteria; Rhodobacterales; Roseobacteraceae. The record is from RNAcentral.
UAGGCGUCCUGUGGCGAUUUGUUCUCCUGAUUGCGGGCCACGUUAAAUAUGCCGCUAAAGAGGUCUGGGACGUACCCCC